AUGCAGUUGGUACGGUCUGGCAAGACCGCGAUUAACAUUAACGGUGAUGUGGGGCCGUUCUUCUCGUCCUCUGCGGGAGUGAAGCAAGGGGAUAUGAUAUCCCCUCUUCUCUUCAACCUUGCCAUGGACGCUCUGGCUGGCAUCCUGGACAAAGCCAGGAGGGCCGGUCAUCUCUCGGGAGUUGUUGGUCACCUCAUUUCGAGAGGAGGGGUCACCCAUCUCCAAUACGCCGAUGACACCAUGAUUAUGGUG
RNAcentral lists this ribosomal RNA (252 nucleotides) under Triticum aestivum (bread wheat). RNAcentral describes it as "partial small subunit ribosomal RNA". Lineage: Eukaryota; Viridiplantae; Streptophyta; Magnoliopsida; Poales; Poaceae. The record is from RNAcentral.